Gossypium arboreum is the source of this 434-nucleotide long non-coding RNA. RefSeq lists it as uncharacterized. The record is from RefSeq and is a predicted model, not a curated record. NCBI's taxonomy places the organism in Eukaryota, Viridiplantae, Streptophyta, Magnoliopsida, Malvales, Malvaceae. The transcript is spliced from 3 exons.
AAGUGGAUAUCUCUUCUUCUUCAUUCGGCUAAGAGAGACUAAAGGGAGUAAAAUCAAAGCUUUUGGAUGUUUAUUAUUCCUCCAUUGCCGUAGGUUCCAACAAAAAAUAGAUCAAGAAUUGUCAAAUCUGAGCCUAUACCGGGGGAAAACCAAGCAAGUUGACUAAACCGACUAGUCGUAUACGUUUUGUAAUCCGAGCUCAAGGAUCACCUGAAGUCAGAGAUAUCGAUCACACUAUCAACCGAAGCAUUCAGUAUAGUUGGAUUUAUAUUUUUGAAUAUGACAUGUAUAGGACUUAAACUUUAUUAUUUUGUGUUUUUGAAAAUUGGCCAAAUGUGUUGCCUUGGGUUGGAAGCCCUUCAAUUUGCAUUAUGCCUUGAAUGAUGGCUAACAUUCAUUUUGGAAUUUAUAGAAGAUGCAUUAUCAUGGUGGAA